GACCAGCGGAGGGAUCAUUACCGAGUUUACAACUCCCAAACCCAAUGUGAACGUUACCAAACUGUUGCCUCGGCGGGAUCUCUGCCCCGGGUGCGUCGCAGCCCCGGACCAAGGCGCCCGCCGGAGGACCAACCAAAACUCUUAUUGUAUACCCCCUCGCGGGUUUUUUACUAUCUGAGCCAUCUCGGCGCCCCUCGUGGGCGUUUCGAAAAUGAAUCAAAACUUUCAACAACGGAUCUCUUGGUUCUGGCAUCGAUGAAGAACGCAGCGAAAUGCGAUAAGUAAUGUGAAUUGCAGAAUUCAGUGAAUCAUCGAAUCUUUGAACGCACAUUGCGCCCGCCAGUAUUCUGGCGGGCAUGCCUGUCCGAGCGUCAUUUCAACCCUCGAACCCCUCCGGGGGGUCGGCGUUGGGGAUCGGCCCUUUACGGGGCCGGCCCCGAAAUACAGUGGCGGUCUCGCCGCAGCCUCUCCUGCGCAGUAGUUUGCACACUCGCAUCGGGAGCGCGGCGCGUCCACAGCCGUUAAACACCCCAAACUUCUGAAAUGUUGACCUCGGAUCAGGUAGGAAUACCCGCUGAACUUAAGCAUAUCAAUAAGCGGA
This 601-nucleotide ribosomal RNA is filed under the name Trichoderma virens. Its description in RNAcentral is "eukaryotic LSU rRNA". The stretch from base 221 to 374 matches the Rfam family "5.8S ribosomal RNA". The record is from RNAcentral. Lineage: Eukaryota; Fungi; Ascomycota; Sordariomycetes; Hypocreales; Hypocreaceae.